This 496-nucleotide ribosomal RNA is filed under the name uncultured bacterium. Its description in RNAcentral is "partial 16S ribosomal RNA". It matches the Rfam family "Bacterial small subunit ribosomal RNA", at positions 28 to 506 of the family's 1533-position model. The record is from RNAcentral.
GAUGAACGCUGGCGGCGUGCCUAAUACAUGCAAGUCGAGCGAACGGACGAGAAGCUUGCUUUUCUGAUGUUAGCGGCGGACGGGUGAGUAACACGUGGAUAACCUACCUAUAAGACUGGGAUAACUUCGGGAAACCGGAGCUAAUACCGGAUAAUAUUUUGAACCGCAUGGUUCAAAAGUGAAAGACGGUCUUGCUGUCACUUAUAGAUGGAUCCGCGCUGCAUUAGCUAGUUGGUAAGGUAACGGCUUACCAAGGCAACGAUGCAUAGCCGACCUGAGAGGGUGACCGGCCACCCUGGACCUGAGCCACGGUCCAGACUCCUACGGGAGGCAGCAGUAGGGAAUCUUCCGCAAUGGGCGAAAGCCUGACGGAGCAACGCCGCGUGAGUGAUGAAGGUCUUCGGAUCGUAAAACUCUGUUAUUAGGGAAGAACAUAUGUGUAAGUAACUGUGCACAUCUUGACGGUACCAAAUCAGAAAGCCACGGCUAACUACGU